GUCUAUGGCCAUGCCACCCUGAAUGUGCCAGAUCUCGGAAGCUAAGCAGGUUUGGGCCUGGUUAGUACUUGGAUGGGAGACCACCUAGGAAUACCAGGUGCUGUAGCAU
RNAcentral lists this ribosomal RNA (109 nucleotides) under Pteropus alecto (black flying fox). The record is from RNAcentral. Lineage: Eukaryota; Metazoa; Chordata; Mammalia; Chiroptera; Pteropodidae.